This 775-nucleotide ribosomal RNA is filed under the name uncultured bacterium. Its description in RNAcentral is "bacterial SSU rRNA". It matches the Rfam family "Bacterial small subunit ribosomal RNA", at positions 43 to 817 of the family's 1533-position model. The record is from RNAcentral.
GAGGCUUAACACAUGCAAGUCGAGGGGGAGCACGAGGUAGCAAUACUUUGGUGGCGACCGGCGCACGGGUGAGUAACGCGUAUGCAACCUACCCUGUAAGGGGGUAGCCCGGAGAAAUUCGGAUUAAUACCCCAUAAAUAUAUUUGGAGGCAUCUUCAGAUAUUUAAAGUUUCGACGGUACGGGAUGGGCAUGCGUAACAUUAGCUAGUUGGUAAGGUAACGGCUUACCAAGGCUACGAUGUUUAGGGGUCCUGAGAGGGUGAUCCCCCACACUGGUACUGAGACACGGACCAGACUCCUACGGGAGGCAGCAGUGAGGAAUAUUGGUCAAUGGGCGCAAGCCUGAACCAGCCAUCCCGCGUGCAGGAAGACGGCGCUACGCGUUGUAAGCUGCUUUUCCAGGGAAAGAAAACCCCCGACGUGUCGGGGCUUGCCGGUACCCUGGGAAUAAGCAUCGGCUAACUCCGUGCCAGCAGCCGCGGUAAUACGGAGGAUGCAAGCGUUAUCCGGAUUUAUUGGGUUUAAAGGGUGCGUAGGCGGAUUAAUAAGUCAGUGGUGAAAACCUGCAGCUUAACUGUAGACUUGCCAUUGAUACUGUUAGUCUUGAGUACGGUCAAGGUAGGCGGAAUGUGUAAUGUAGCGGUGAAAUGCUUAGAUAUUACACAGAACACCGAUUGCGAAGGCAGCUUACUGGGCCAUUACUGACGCUGAGUGCGAAGCGUGGGGAGCAAACAGGAUUAGAUACCUGGUAGUCAGGCCGUAAACCAUGAAACUA